Molecule: ribosomal RNA, 497 nt
Filed under: uncultured bacterium
Lineage: Bacteria
Description: partial 16S ribosomal RNA
Rfam family: Bacterial small subunit ribosomal RNA
Source: RNAcentral
GAUGAACGCUGGCGGCGUGCCUAAUACAUGCAAGUCGAGCGAACAGACGAGGAGCUUGCUCCUCUGACGUUAGCGGCGGACGGGUGAGUAACACGAGGAUAACCUACCUAUAAGACUGGGAUAACUUCGGGAAACCGGAGCUAAUACCGGAUAAUAUAUUGAACCGCAUGGUUCAAUAGUGAAAGACGGUUUUGCUGUCACUUAUAGAUGGAUCCGCGCCGCAUUAGCUAGUUGGUAAGGUAACAGCUUACCAAGGCAACGAUGCGUAGCCGACCUGAGAGGGUGAUCGGCCACACUGGAACUGAGACACGGUCCAGACUCCUACGGGAGGCAGCAGUAGGGAAUCUUCCGCAAUGGGCGAAAGCCUGACGGAGCAACGCCGCGUGAGUGAUGAAGGUCUUCGGAUCGUAAAACUCUGUUAUUAGGGAAGAACAAAUGUGUAAGUAACUAUGCACGUCUUGACGGUACCUAAUCAGAAAGCCACGGCUAACUACGUG